GAUGAACGCUGGCGGCGUGCCUAAUACAUGCAAGUCGAGCGAACGGACGAGAAGCUUGCUUCUCUGAUGUUAGCGGCGGACGGGUGAGUAACACGUGGAUAACCUACCUAUAAGACUGGGAUAACUUCGGGAAACCGGAGCUAAUACCGGAUAAUAUUUUGAACCGCAUGGUUCAAAAGUGAAAGACGGUCUUGCUGUCACUUAUAGAUGGAUCCGCGCUGCAUUAGCUAGUUGGUAAGGUAACGGCUUACCAAGGCAACGAUGCAUAGCCGACCUGAGAGGGUGAUCGGCCACACUGGAACUGAGACACGGUCCAGACUCCUACGGGAGGCAGCAGUAGGGAAUCUUCCGCAAUGGGCGAAAGCCUGACGGAGCAACGCCGCGUGAGUGAUGAAGGUCUUCGGAUCGUAAAACUCUGUUAUUAGGGAAGAACAUAUGUGUAAGUAACUGUGCACAUCUUGACGGUACCUAAUCAGAAAGCCACGGCUAACUACGUGCCAGCAGCCGCGGUAAUACGUAGGUGGCAAGCGUUAUCCGGAAUUAUUGGGCGUAAAGCGCGCGUAGGCGGUUUUUUAAGUCUGAUGUGAAAGCCCACGGCUCAACCGUGGAGGGUCAUUGGAAACUGGAAAACUUGAGUGCAGAAGAGGAAAGUGGAAUUCCAUGUGUAGCGGUGAAAUGCGCAGAGAUAUGGAGGAACACCAGUGGCGAAGGCGACUUUCUGGUCUGUAACUGACGCUGAUGUGCGAAAGCGUGGGGAUCAAACAGGAUUAGGUACCCUGGUAGUCCACGCCGUAAACGAUGAGUGCUAAGUGUUAGGGGGUUUCCGCCCCUUAGUGCUGCAGCUAACGCAUUAAGCACUCCGCCUGGGGAGUACGACCGCAAGGUUGAAACUCAAAGGAAUUGACGGGGACCCGCACAAGCGGUGGAGCAUGUGGUUUAAUUCGAAGCAACGCGAAGAACCUUACCAAAUCUUGACAUCCUUUGACAACUCUAGAGAUAGAGCCUUCCCCUUCGGGGGGGCAAAGUGACAGGUGGUGCAUGGUUGUCGUCAGCUCGUGUCGUGAGAUGUUGGGUUAAGUCCCGCAACGAGCGCAACCCUUAAGCUUAGUUGCCAUCAUUAAGUUGGGCACUCUAAGUUGACUGCCGGUGACAAACCGGAGGAAGGUGGGGAUGACGUCAAAUCAUCAUGCCCCUUAUGAUUUGGGCUACACACGUGCUACAAUGGACAAUACAAAGGGCAGCGAAACCGCGAGGUCAAGCAAAUCCCAUAAAGUUGUUCUCAGUUCGGAUUGUAGUCUGCAACUCGACUACAUGAAGCUGGAAUCGCUAGUAAUCGUAGAUCAGCAUGCUACGGUGAAUACGUUCCCGGGUCU
This 1373-nucleotide ribosomal RNA is filed under the name uncultured bacterium. Its description in RNAcentral is "bacterial SSU rRNA". It matches the Rfam family "Bacterial small subunit ribosomal RNA", at positions 28 to 1381 of the family's 1533-position model. The record is from RNAcentral.